CAGCAGCCACGGGAAUACAGAGGGUGCGAGCGUUAAUCGGAUUUACUGGGCGUAAAGCGUGCGUAGGCGGCUUCUUAAGUCGGAUGUGAAAUCCCUGAGCUUAACUUAGGAAUUGCAUUCGAUACUGGGAAGCUAGAGUAUGGGAGAGGAUGGUAGAAUUCCAGGUGUAGCGGUGAAAUGCGUAGAGAUCUGGAGGAAUACCGAUGGCGAAGGCAGCCAUCUGGCCUAAUACUGACGCUGAGGUACGAAAUCAUGGGGAGCAAACAGGAUUAGAUACCCGGGUAGUCCCUGUCUCUUAUAC
This 301-nucleotide ribosomal RNA is filed under the name uncultured bacterium. RNAcentral's name for it is "partial 16S ribosomal RNA". It matches the Rfam family "Bacterial small subunit ribosomal RNA", at positions 509 to 807 of the family's 1533-position model. The record is from RNAcentral.